RNAcentral lists this transfer RNA (74 nucleotides) under Rosistilla ulvae. RNAcentral describes it as "Planctomycetes bacterium EC9 tRNA-Ala". It matches the Rfam family "tRNA". From Rfam's summary of the family: Transfer RNA (tRNA) molecules are approximately 80 nucleotides in length. Their secondary structure includes four short double-helical elements and three loops (D, anti-codon, and T loops). Lineage: Bacteria; Pseudomonadati; Planctomycetota; Planctomycetia; Pirellulales; Pirellulaceae. The record is from RNAcentral. RNAcentral also lists the same sequence under 3 other names.
GGGGGUGUAGCUCAGUUGGGAGAGCACCUGCUUUGCACGCAGGGGGUCAUCGGUUCAAGUCCGUUCACCUCCAC